GACGUAGGGGGCCAGCGUUGUUCGGAAUUACUGGGUGUAAAGGGUUCGUAGGCGGUGCGGCAAGUUGGGAGUGAAAUCUCUGGGCUUAACCCAGAGGCUGCUUCCAAAACUGCUGUGCUUGAGUGUGGGAGAGGCGCGUGGAAUUGCAGGUGUAGCGGUGAAAUGCGUAGAUAUCAAGAGGAACACCUGAGGUGAAGACGGGUUGCUGGGCCGACACUGACGCUGAGUGCGCGAAAGCCAGGGGAGCAAACGGG
This 254-nucleotide ribosomal RNA is filed under the name uncultured bacterium. RNAcentral describes it as "partial 16S ribosomal RNA". It matches the Rfam family "Bacterial small subunit ribosomal RNA", at positions 524 to 776 of the family's 1533-position model. The record is from RNAcentral.